UGAGUAACCUGCCCUGGACUUUGGGAUAACCCUCGGAAACGGGGGCUAAUACCGGAUAUGACGCACUCUCGCAUGGGAUGUGUGUGGAAAGUUUUUCGGUCUGGGAUGGGCUCGCGGCCUAUCAGCUUGUUGGUGGGGUGAUGGCCUACCAAGGCGACGACGGGUAGCUGGUCUGAGAGGAUGGCCAGCCACAUUGGGACUGAGACACGGCCCAGACUCCUACGGGAGCA
RNAcentral lists this ribosomal RNA (230 nucleotides) under uncultured bacterium. Its description in RNAcentral is "partial 16S ribosomal RNA". It matches the Rfam family "Bacterial small subunit ribosomal RNA", at positions 118 to 347 of the family's 1533-position model. The record is from RNAcentral.